GGGUCGGUAGCUCAGCCUGGUAGAGCAAUGCACUUUUAAUGCAUUGGCCGCGAGUUCGAAUCUCGUCCGACCCG
This 74-nucleotide transfer RNA is filed under the name Candidatus Woesearchaeota archaeon. Its description in RNAcentral is "tRNA-Lys". It matches the Rfam family "tRNA". From Rfam's summary of the family: Transfer RNA (tRNA) molecules are approximately 80 nucleotides in length. Their secondary structure includes four short double-helical elements and three loops (D, anti-codon, and T loops). The record is from RNAcentral. Lineage: Archaea; Nanobdellati; Candidatus Woesearchaeota.